AACGAACGCUGGCGGCAUGCCUAACACAUGCAAGUCGAACGAGACCUUCGGGUCUAGUGGCGCACGGGUGCGUAACGCGUGGGAACCUGCCCUUAGGUUCGGAAUAACUCCCCGAAAGGGGUGCUAAUACCGGUUAAUGUCUUCGGACCUAAGAUUUAUCGCCUUUGGAUGGGCCCGCGUUGGAUUAGCUAGUUGGUAGGGUACAAGCCUGGCAAUGCGACGAUGCAUAGCUGGUCUGGGACGAUGCUCAGCCAUACUGGGACUGAGGCACGGCCCAGACUGCGACGGGAGGCAGCAGUAGAGAAUAUUAGACACUGGGCGAAAGCCUGAUCAAGCAAUGCCGGGUGAGUGAUGAAGGCCGUAGGGUUGUAAAGCUCUUUUAGCCGGGGUGAGAAUGACAGUACCGGGAGAAUAAGCUCCGGCUAACUCCGUG
Molecule: ribosomal RNA, 433 nt
Filed under: uncultured bacterium
Lineage: Bacteria
Description: partial 16S ribosomal RNA
Rfam family: Bacterial small subunit ribosomal RNA
Source: RNAcentral